UCCAAAAUGCAGUUGUUGCAGCCUAGCUCAGUGCUUUCUGUGGUGGUGGGGCAGCCAGCAUAAAAUACGGAGCGUAGGGGUUGGUAAUGUUCUCUAGUUGUGCUGUGAUUGGCUUUGUGUUCUGUCACUCAUGGGGACACUACUUCACCGCAAAAUCUACGGGUAGAGCUCGAAAUGUCAAGCCCCUUGGGUGCUGCCAUAGAAUUACAUUAGAAAUGCCCAUCCAAAAAGUCUCAAGGUCAUUGGUUUAGACAAAAUUACAUCAAAUUGCGUUAAAUCUACCGUAGCUUUGAUUGGACUGAUUGGACAAACUUUCAAAAUCUUAGCUGGCAAGCUAGACAAGCAGUCAUCAUCAUGCAUCAAGUCGACAAUCUACUGACAAAUGCUUAUCAAUCCUUGUCAUAUGAAAUUAUAGAUGUUACGCACGCCUCUAUGAAGAGGGAAUGCAGCAAACACCCUGCUACAACUAAACUCUCCGUGAAGUGAAAAAGGAAUAAAGUCUCCAAAUCCACCUCUGACACAAGAGACACAGCAGAUGAUGGACAGGGAAACUCUAGUCCAGUGUUUGACAACAUCUCAGGCAUGGCAAUGAACUCUACUGCAGUACAGACAGCGGUCACAGAUGACCAGGAUGAUGUUCACUACGCCAGCGUCCACUUCUCUCGCUCCAAAAACCAGGAAGUGCCUCUGUACUCCACCGUCCAAGUGCUUCAGCCCCAGAAAGAGGAUGAGGAUGUCCAGUACGAUGCUGUGAAAUUCAACCUCCCCAGUGCUGCCACCUGACCCGCAGCAGCACAAGCAGCUGAGGAGGACUCCUCUGUUCUCUACAGUACAGUCAAUAAACCCUGAACCAAGAAGACCCAAACACAACAAACCCAGAACCAAGAAGACCUGAACGCAACAAACCCAGAACCAAGAAGACCCAAACACAACAAACUCAGAACCAAGAAGACCCAAACACAACAAACCCAGAACCAAGAAGACCCAAACACAACAAACUCAGAACCAAGAAGACCCAAACACAACAAACCCAGAACCAAGAAGACCCGAACACAACAAACCCAGAACCAAGAAGACCUGAACAGAACAAGUUUGACAAUAGCCUUGUGUAUCUGGACCUGUAUAUCUAAACUAAGUGAUAUAAUGGCUGUGGAGGUGUGGAAUAUUGACCUUUAUAAACUGGGUGGUUUGAGCUGUGAAUGCUGAUUAACUGACAGGCGUGGUAUACCAGAC
Oncorhynchus keta (chum salmon) is the source of this 1233-nucleotide long non-coding RNA. RefSeq lists it as uncharacterized. The transcript has 4 exons. Lineage: Eukaryota; Metazoa; Chordata; Actinopteri; Salmoniformes; Salmonidae. The record is from RefSeq and is a predicted model, not a curated record.